This 884-nucleotide ribosomal RNA is filed under the name Proteus mirabilis. Its description in RNAcentral is "partial 23S ribosomal RNA". It matches the Rfam family "Bacterial large subunit ribosomal RNA", at positions 323 to 1211 of the family's 2925-position model. The record is from RNAcentral. Lineage: Bacteria; Pseudomonadati; Pseudomonadota; Gammaproteobacteria; Enterobacterales; Morganellaceae.
GCAGUGUCAGGAGAACGGUCUGGAAAGUCCGGCAGUAAAGGGUGAUAGCCCCGUAUCUGAAGAUGCUGUUAUUGUGAACUCGACGAGUAGGGCGGGACACGUGUUAUCCUGUCUGAAUAUGGGGGGACCAUCCUCCAAGGCUAAAUACUCCUGAUUGACCGAUAGUGAACCAGUACCGUGAGGGAAAGGCGAAAAGAACCCCGGCGAGGGGAGUGAAAAAGAACCUGAAACCGUGUACGUACAAGCAGUAGGAGCCUCUUUAUGGGGUGACUGCGUACCUUUUGUAUAAUGGGUCAGCGACUUAUAUUCUGUAGCAAGGUUAACCGUAUAGGGGAGCCGUAGGGAAACCGAGUCUUAACUGGGCGAAUGAGUUGCAGGGUAUAGACCCGAAACCCGGUGAUCUAUCCAUGGGCAGGUUGAAGGUUGGGUAACACUAACUGGAGGACCGAACCGACUAAUGUUGAAAAAUUAGCGGAUGACUUGUGGAUGGGGGUGAAAGGCCAAUCAAACCGGGAGAUAGCUGGUUCUCCCCGAAAGCUAUUUAGGUAGCGCCUCGUGAACUCAUCUUCGGGGGUAGAGCACUGUUUCGACUAGGGGGUCAUCCCGACUUACCAACUCGAUGCAAACUGCGAAUACCGAAGAAUGUUAUCACGGGAGACACACGGCGGGUGCUAACGUCCGUCGUGAAGAGGGAAACAACCCAGACCGCCAGCUAAGGUCCCAAAGUCAUGGUUAAGUGGGAAACGAAGUGGGAAGGCUCAGACAGCCAGGAUGUUGGCUUAGAAGCAGCCAUCAUUUAAAGAAAGCGUAAUAGCUCACUGGUCGAGUCGGCCCGCGCGGAAGAUGUAACGGGGCUAAACCAUGCACCGAAGCUGCGGCAGCGA